GUGGAGAUAGCUCUGUUGCUAGAGCAUAGGACUAAAAAUCCUCGCGACACUGGUUCGAAUAUGGUUAUCAACG
Molecule: transfer RNA, 73 nt
Filed under: Epipogium roseum
Lineage: Eukaryota; Viridiplantae; Streptophyta; Magnoliopsida; Asparagales; Orchidaceae
Description: tRNA-Phe
Rfam family: tRNA
About the family: Transfer RNA (tRNA) molecules are approximately 80 nucleotides in length. Their secondary structure includes four short double-helical elements and three loops (D, anti-codon, and T loops).
Source: RNAcentral